AGAAUAUUCAUCAGUGGGGGACCCUCUUCCUCCAAAUGGAGGACAAAUUGGCAGCAACAUAAAGGCUGCAAAUGUUCCCCACUGCCUCAUUAGCAAUAUAAGUGUGGUCUCCCCCCACUUUUUUUUUUUUUGCUUGAGGAAGAUUCGCCCUGAGCUAAUAUUUGUGCCAAUCUGCCUCAAUUUUGUAUGGGGGUUGCCAACACAGUAUGGCUGAGGAUUGGCAUAGGUCCAUGCCCAGGAUUUGAACCCAGGCUGCCAAAGCGGAGUGCGCAGAACUUAACCACAACACUAUGGCGCUGGUCUUAAUAUAAGUGUGUUUUGAAACAAAUUUAUCUGUGACUCUCAUCCUAAAGGUUUGAGGCCUCACGUUAGGCUAUAGUAAGAUUUUUCUGGUACUUCGGGGAGCUAAAUCCCCUUGGGCUGAACUCAGUUAGAACUCAAGCAGAACCACGCAACUGUAAGAAUCCACAGUAUUUCUUCCUCACAGAUUUCAUUAUGUGGUCUCCUCAAAUUGAUCAGUGAAAAAUCAGAAUCUAGAAACAUAAUCACAAUUCAGGGCAUUACAUGCCUGUUAUCUCAUUAUUUUUCUGGAAAAAUACUAUCAGUCCAUUAAGCUGGAUAAUAGAAGAAUUAUUGUGGGUGCUAUUUAUUGGGCAGCUCCUAUUGGUCAGGAGCUUUUCCCUCCUUAUUCCUCACGACGCUUCGAAGCUCGUUAUUUCCAUUUCAUAGAUAAGGAAGUUGGGAUGGCCACGUGGAAUCAGGAUCCACUCCCAGGUCUCCCGGGAUUUGGCACCCAGGCACCUUGCCACCGGGCCACACCUCCUUGAGGGUGUAUGUCCAGUCCUACGUCCUCCCAGCGACCUUGCAUAGUCAUGCUUUUCGUGCACAAUCUUUCUUAUGUUUCUCACAGACAAAAAGUAACUCAUAUGUUAGAAAUGGAAGAUAUUUUUUCCGGGAUAUUUCCAUUUCAUUUAAUCAAUGAGACCACGCCAAAGGUGAUGAGCAACUUCCUAAAAGAAGAGGUGGGACUUAAGUGUCUAUUGCAAUGUAUUAAAAUCAACUUGAUAUUUUGUCAGAGAGGGGGCAAUAGGUGGGGAGGGGUUAGUUACUUGAGAACUGCUUUUUAUCAACUUUUGCUUUGUAAAUUAUUGUCAACAUAUUUUCCUUUUGACAUGCAGUCAAUUUAGUCUUUUAAUAUGAAAAAUCCUAGUAAAUUUUUUUCUUUGCUCCUUCCUCUUUUUUCUUUUUUCUUUUUUUUUAAGAUUGACACCUGAACUAACAUCUGUUGCCAAUCUUUUCUUCUUCCUCCCCCUCCCCCUCCUCCUCCUCCUCCUUUUUCUUCUUCUUCUCCCCAAAGCCCCCCGGUGCGUAGCUGUACAUUCUAGUCGUGAGUGCCUCUGGUUGUGCUAUGUGGGACGCCACCUCAGCAUGGCCUGAUGAGUGGUGCCAUGUCCACACCCAGGAUCUGAACUGGCAAAACCCUGGGCCGCCGAAGUGGAGCACACGAACUGAACCACUUGGCCACGGGGUCAGCCCCCCGCUCCUUCCUCCUAAUCCAAAAUGUUACUAUUAUAAAUAUAUUUUAAAACAAAUUUUAAACAUUAUAUUUAAAACAAAGACAUUUUUGUUUUAUAAAAGGGCAGAAAUUUGAAUAGAAAUCAGAAGACUCCAUUCUCUAUAAUCACAUAAGUUCAGUUUUCUUUGUUGAAAAUGACUAUUUCAGAAUGAUUAUAAUGGUGUUAAUAUGUGAGUACAAAACCUCUUAGGAAAGUAACGAUGUUGGUUGUUUACUUUAAAUUUUAUUAAUGUAAGAAGAGAAUACUUGAUGGCUAUUAUUGGAUGCCUGAGUUCACUUCCCUUAGGAAAGAAGGGAGAGAAACAGAGGAUGUAAUUAGGGUGGAACACAAUGAGGGUUGGAGAGGGUGGAAGGACACAAUGACACUUCCCUCCCAGGCCAGCCCUAAGAGCCAGCAGGGACUGUGGACAAGGCAGCAGUUCAACCCUGCACACAUCAGUAGUUGUGCACUUGAGUUUCCUCAUCUCUAAGACCACAGGGCUUGGCCAGCCGGCCUCCAAAGACCUUUCCAGAGCUUUGUCAGUCUGUGAUUUUGAAACAGAACUUGAUUCCAUUUGAGAAGAUUAACAAUCAGAAACGAGGAAUGUCAGCAGCAAUGGCUGGCUCUUUACCUGUCCUACACCACACAGAUGUGUUGCUGGGGUACACCACACAGCCUUACCACUCUAACUCAAGAAAUAACAUAUGCCAGCAAUAGUACUCACACGUGACAGUAGGAAAGUUAUCACAGAUUCACAAAUUAUUUUAACCACUUUAGAAAAACACCUAUCUUUGUUCAAUAUUCAAUCUGUCAUAUCAAACCCACCAGAAUUAUCUUGCUGGCUGUCUUAAAAAACUUACCAUUAUAUUAUUGAAUAAAUAAAGAACUUAUAACUAGUUUAAUUGCAAAAAGAUUAUUUUAAAAUGUUUUUCUUCUCUUACAUCAUAUAAUUAACCUAGUGUCAUGGAUGAAAAGGAAUGCUGCUAGUUAAGGCAAUAGAAUUACGAGGUGCUGAAUGGUAAGUAGUACCUAUUUGAUAAGAGGAGUAUCUUCUGUUCACUCCCAUAUGGCUUUUCUCUUGUCACGUGUCAAGGAGUAGGAACCAAAGCCCUAAGUACAAUAGUCGUUAUUUAUACUUGCUCCUCAACAUUCACUGAGUGUACAUUAUGUGCCAGCUUCAUGCUAAAGGCUAAAGGGUAGAGACAGAAUGAUGAGCAAGACACAUUCUGGUCCUCUGUUGACUUAUAGGGACUGAGGGGAAAUGAGACUGGCACCAGGAGGACGAAGAGCCCAGGGGAGGAAAACAAGAUCUGAAUUAGGGUGAUAGUGAGCAGGGAGAAGAGGUGAAACAUUUGAAAGAUAUUUAGGAGGUAGAAUCAACAGGACUUUAGUAACAGUUAGUAUGUGGAACAAGAGAGGAGCCUGGAAGAUGCAAAGGGAUUUCUUGACCAUGAGAAACAAGACACAGUGACUGGAUUUAAUGUGUGAGUCCAGUUCUUGUCACUUAGGGAAAUAUUCAGUUUCAAAUCUCAUCGUUAAUAAAAAGCCAUUGUAAGAACAUAAUAGAAGAAAUCAGAUGACUUCUGCCUGAGAUUCUGACCAAUGGGGUACUGAAACUUGCCACUGGACACUCCAUGGCUUAAGCUGGUCAUUUAUUAAAUAUAAAUGAUGUCUUCUUUUGAGCUCAUAAUAAACUCAAGUGCUGAAGGCCAUGGGCUAUAAAACAGUUUUAAUCUAGGCUGUGUUUAUUUAACAACUUAUCUCUUCUUUUCUUCUACUGAAUCUCCCAUGGCACAGAUUGCCCAUGAAGGACCUGUAAAUAGCCAAGCCAAAUGGAUUGUUUUCAAUCCACAUCUUCCUUGACCUCUCUACAGCCUUUGAAACUUUUGACCACUUUCUCCAUGAAAUCCUCUCCCCUCUGACUUCCAUGCACCAGUCACUUUGGUUCUCUUCCUUUCCAUGGCUUCUCCCCCUCAGUCUCCUCUGAAGGCUCCUUUGCUCUGCUCAACCCUUAAAGACUGGUGACCUCAGUUACCACUUUGGGGCUGAUGCCUCUCACCUCCAUAUCUGUAGCCCAGUCCCCUCUCCUUCCCUAAUGAGCUCUACAUCUAUUCUUCUGGAUGUCCCUCAGACACAUCAAACUCAAGAUGUUCAUCAUGGAGCUGGUCAUCUCCUUGUCCUCAACACCUGCUCUUCUUCCUGUAUCUUCAGCUCAUUUGCCAGCACUCAUGACACUCAGGACAAACUUGAGACUUGGAGUCAUCCUUGACUCCUUACACCUGAGUUGAUCACUAUAUCCUGACAAUGCUACCUCUUAAAUAUUUCUCCACUGUGUCCGCUUUCUCUGUGCCAACUGUGAUGAUCCUGGUUCAGCCCCUCCAUUUUCUCUUACUCAGACUCCUUUGCUCCCAGCCUUGUCUUUCUUAAGAAAUGUCCUCCAAGCAAGCUCUAGAAUGAGCUCUUUAAUAUUCAAAUCUGCUCUUAUUUCUCUCCUGCUUUAAAUUCUUCUGCGGCUCCCCUUCACACUAAGGGUACAGCCAAGCUCCUCUGCAUGGCACCCAUGUGUAUUCAGCUCCUCCCCAAGAAUGUGUGAGUUCCUCGAGAACAGGGACUAUCUGAGGUGAGCAGGAGAGGUGGGACUGGGAGUUUUGGAGUUAGAAGAGUAGCAGAGUAGCUGCUGAGGAUGUUAUUUUUAGUCUUCCUAGCCAUAGCUAAAAUCUUACCUAAACCCUACAGCAGGAGUAUUUCAAGUUUAAAAACAAUUUACAUGUUGUAGGGGAAUUUACUAUGGUCAUGGAAUCCAAGAAGAAUCUCCAGGAAGGAAUACAGAGAGAAAGUAAAUUUGAAUUUUCAUACCAACGAGCAGUGGUUUAUUGAAGAAGAAUUGUUUUCAGCAUUAUUUUUGACACAUGGAGAACCAGAUGUGCCCAGGGUCAAAAGAAUGGACAAUAAGUUUGAAGCAAUGUUCCUCUUAAAUUGUUUAUAUUUGUGGCCAUUAUUUUGAAACAUUUGCAAAAAAAUUUUGAUCUUUAAACUUUUUCCCUUGGUGUUCUUAUAAAAUAAAAAUUGAAACGAU
Molecule: long non-coding RNA, 4632 nt
Organism: Equus asinus (donkey)
Lineage: Eukaryota; Metazoa; Chordata; Mammalia; Perissodactyla; Equidae
Source: Ensembl